This is a long non-coding RNA of Neopsephotus bourkii (Bourke's parrot), 1308 nucleotides long. RefSeq lists it as uncharacterized. The record is from RefSeq and is a predicted model, not a curated record. Lineage: Eukaryota; Metazoa; Chordata; Aves; Psittaciformes; Psittacidae. The transcript has 3 exons.
GGUAAAGUCAAAAAUAGAAGACCCAUGAAUCGGGGUGAGGUCAGACUCCUUUACAGGUUCAGGUUGAUUGGUUUGCAAUAAAACCUCUGAGAUCUGCCAGUUUUUAAUGAGCUUUUCUCUGAAGAGGUGAACUUGUAUUUUCACUGGGGGUUACUCUUGAGGGUAUGUUUCACAUGCCUGUCCUAAACAUUCCCUCUAGACCUUGCUGCUUUCCCACAUUAAAAAUCAUCAGAUGAUGAAGCCAUAAUAAAUAAUUCUAGCAAAGGAUCUACCCUCUACUUGUGAAAAUGGAUCUUGACUCCAAGGCCAGUGAAUUUCUUUUUUGGAGAAGGUGAUUUAAAUCCACCCUUUCUGCAAAGCUACCGCUUCUGACAGAUGCCCUCAUUGGAGUACCACUCUUCCCAUUUUCCUGCACUAGUAUGCUUAUGCCAAGUUAUAUAGCAUUUCUCCUGUGGCAACGAUGAUUUAAGCAUUCUCUAUCUAAUCAGUCCCAUAACUGUGUCAGCACAAUUGUUGUCUCAGUCCUUGACCAACUUACAAUCUACAGAAGAGGAAAUCACCUCUUUGGGCAGAUGUAUUCCCUCAGCUACUGUGCCAUGUAACAGAGCAGUGGAGCUAGUGGGCAGAAAUAAGGAUACGGUAGCACUGGUGACUGCAGGCUUCUUAAAUAGGGCUAUGCAGUAUUGCAACCAGCCGUGUAGCCUUAGCCUGAAUAAACAUGGAGGCCUAUGGAAAAGGUGCUAUGCAACCUGCAUAAAAUAACAUUCUGAAAAAUUUUUCAGUUAUGUGCUGUCCAGAAAUAUGGUGGAUAUUUUAAACACAAAUGAAAUUUACUGCUUCCAGUGAAAUGCAUUAACAACAUUACACAAUAGUUUUUAGAAGCUGGAAGAGUGACAUAACCAACUGAGACUGCAGAGAGGAUUUCAACACAUACAGUGUAAUCACCCAGGCUGGAGUUUGGCCAGGACACCAGGAUUAACACUGUGAGGCAUGCUGCAAGGGUUUGGGGAAUGAAUCUUCUUUAAACUUAUAUUUCAUCUGGAAAAUAGCAAACUUCUGCAGCUCUGUCAUUCAGACAUGUGGGAAGGACAGAGGGCUACCUCAUGAAUCGUCUCUGCUUUCUGCAACAGCAAGACUUCUUGGCAGUUGCACCAAAAUACUGAGCCUAAACCUACUUAAUGAAUGAAACGAGGGGGACAUAGGACAAGGCAGCAUAAAGUACAUUUAAAAUUCUCCAUAUCACUUCUAAUUUACACAUUCUUUUUUAGAGAGAGGAUGAAUAGGACAAUUACAGUGAAUGCUCUUGAG